GGUUCUAGUGACAACUGGCGGCUAUUUGUAUUACGUGUCUACCAAAACCCAAGAAGUAGUAUUCCAAACUCGCUUCAAUGCGAAGCAUGCUAUCAAAGCUUACUAUGAUGGCGAUGCUGAGAAACCCUUGAUUGUGUGUACACCCAGCCAGAGAAUAUCCAUUUCAGUCGAGGACGGGAAAAUUAUCAAAAAGCCACAUCAAUACAAUUUUGCAGAUGUUGUUGAUUUGGUGUCCGCUGGUGGUGUCACAGCGAUCCUCAGAAACAAGCACUUAGAACUACUGGAGGGUGACAAGCGAACUACCGUGACUAUACAACAGGCACGGCCAGAGAUGAUGUACAUCUCCGAAUACAAAAAGUCUGUCUUCUGGAGCAGUGUACAGAAUGACCAAAUAUUAAUUACAG
Haliotis rufescens (red abalone) is the source of this 404-nucleotide long non-coding RNA. RefSeq lists it as uncharacterized. The transcript has 3 exons. The record is from RefSeq and is a predicted model, not a curated record. NCBI's taxonomy places the organism in Eukaryota, Metazoa, Mollusca, Gastropoda, Lepetellida, Haliotidae.